This is a non-coding RNA of Dietzia timorensis, 73 nucleotides long. NCBI's taxonomy places the organism in Bacteria, Bacillati, Actinomycetota, Actinomycetes, Mycobacteriales, Dietziaceae. The record is from Rfam.
GCGCCAAUAGCUCAACUGGCAGAGCAGCUGACUCUUAAUCAGCGGGUUCGGGGUUCGAGUCCCUGUUGGCGCA